AACGUAGGUUCCGAGCGUUAUCCGGAUUUACUGGGCGUAAAGCGCGUUCAGGCGGUUUGGCAAGUCGGGCAUGAAAUCUCUCGGCUCAACCGGGAGAGGUUGUCCGAUACUGCUGGACUUGAGGGCAGUCGAGGGUGGUGGAAUUCCGGGUGUAGUGGUGAAAUGCGUAGAUAUCCGGAGGAACACCAGUGGCGAAAGCGGCCACCUGGACUGUACCUGACGCUGACACGCGAAAGCUAGGGGAGCGAACGGG
This 253-nucleotide ribosomal RNA is filed under the name uncultured bacterium. RNAcentral describes it as "partial 16S ribosomal RNA". It matches the Rfam family "Bacterial small subunit ribosomal RNA", at positions 524 to 776 of the family's 1533-position model. The record is from RNAcentral.